CAUAAUUCCUCGGAUUUAUGUAUUUAUGCUCAAACUGUUUCCAUCCAUGUUUCAUUUAUUCUUACAACCUCCAAGCAAAAGAGAUAAGGACAGAUAUUAUCAUUGUCAUUUUUCCGAAGAGGAAAUGGAUUGAGAAGUGAUGUGAACCUGCUCAACUGCAAAUGGUAUCCCAAUAUCCGAGUUGAUGCUCCAGCCACUAGAACGGUGUAACCUGCCCUUCUAGCCUCACCCCAUCUUCAAUGUACUGGCUGAUCCUGCUCCUACUUUCAGAUCUUUCUCUCUGAUGGGCUACUUGUUGCUCUUCGGUGCUCCAUGAGAAUAAGAAGCAAUAAGAACAAAAGUCACCUAUUCCUCAAUAGCUGGCAUAAGAAGUCAUAUAUUAGGGCAGGAUACUAUAACAGCAAUAACUGCUGUUAUUAAAUGCCCAUUACAUGCCAAGCCCUAUAUGGUCAGAUAACUUACACCGAAAGCAACUCAAGGAAUAAAUUCUGCUAAAAAGCACACCCUUGACACAGCAGAUCUGCUAGAAAGAGGGAGAUGAUUUCAAAAGGAGAAACUUCCUGUGAUAGCAAAUGGAGCUGCCAGCGUAGUCUUUGAACUCUCCUUCACCAUCAGCCAACGAAAGACUUCAGUUAUUCUUCACUAAAAAUGACAGUCUGCAAGUAUUUUGGACCUCCAGGUCGAGGCUAAGUUGGCAAGAACUAAAUGGAGAGAAAACCAUUUUACAGGGUCACUGCUAAAUCCAGAAUCACGGGAUUUCUGAAGAAACUGUAUAUGGGUGACUAAAUCAAA
RNAcentral lists this long non-coding RNA (792 nucleotides) under Homo sapiens (human). RNAcentral's name for it is "HSALNT0408716". The record is from RNAcentral. Lineage: Eukaryota; Metazoa; Chordata; Mammalia; Primates; Hominidae.